This 735-nucleotide ribosomal RNA is filed under the name uncultured eukaryote. RNAcentral's name for it is "bacterial SSU rRNA". It matches the Rfam family "Eukaryotic small subunit ribosomal RNA", at positions 669 to 1416 of the family's 1831-position model. The record is from RNAcentral.
CUCUGUCCUUGGGACCAGGCCCUGCAUUUCUUUCUUAAAUUUGAGAUAGUUAAGCCUCCUUUACGGGAGGUUAUCUUGGGAUUUUACCUUGAAUAAAUUAGGGUGUUCAAAGCAGGCGACCGUCUGAAUACAUUAGCAUGGGAUAAUAAAAUAUGACCUUUGGUUGAUACUUGUUGGUUCUACAACCGAGGUAAUGAUUAAAAGGGACAGUUGAGGUCGUCCAUAUUCAGUGGUAAGAGGUGAAAUUCUAUGACCCACUGAGGAUGAACUAAUGCGAAAGCAUUCGACAAGGAUGUUUUCUUUAAUCAAGAACGAAAGUUAUGGGAUCGAAGAUGAUCAGAUACCGUCGUAGUCAUAACCGUAAACUAUGUUGACUCAGGAUCGGGAGAUGUUACAUGGAUGACUCUUCCGGCACUGUGUGCGAAAGCAGAAGUAUUCGAACUCCGGGGGGAGUAUGGUCGCAAGGCUGAAACUUAAAGGAAUUGACGGAAGGGCACCACCAGGAGUGGAACCUGCGGCUUAAUUUGACUCAACACGGGGAAACUCACCCAGUCCAGACACAACGAGGAUUGACAGAUUGAUAGCUCUUUCUUGAUUUUGUGGAAGCCGGUGCAUGGCCGUUUUUAGUUGGUGGAGUGAUUUGUCUGGUUAAGUCCGAUAACGAACGAGACCUUCUUCUAUUAAAUAGUAAGACAAACAAGGUGCCCUUGGGCAAUGGGGGCUUGCUCCUUGAGU